GAUGAACGCUGGCGGCGUGCCUAAUACAUGCAAGUCGAGCGAACAGACGAGGAGCUUGCUCCUCUGACGUUAGCGGCGGACGGGUGAGUAACACGUGGAUAACCUACCUAUAAGACUGGGAUAACUUCGGGAAACCGGAGCUAAUACCGGAUAAUAUAUUGAACCGCAUGGUUUAAUAGUGAAAGACGGUUUUGCUGUCACUUAUAGAUGGAUCCGCGCCGCAUUAGCUAGUUGGUAAGGUAACGGCUUACCAAGGCGACGAUGCGUAGCCGACCUGAGAGGGUGAUCGGCCACACUGGAACUGAGACACGGUCCAGACUCCUACGGGAGGCAGCAGUAGGGAAUCUUCCGCAAUGGGCGAAAGCCUGACGGAGCAACGCCGCGUGAGUGAUGAAGGUCUUCGGAUCGUAAAACUCUGUUAUUAGGGAAGAACAAAUGUGUAAGUAACUAUGCACGUAUUGACGGUACCUAAUCAGAAAGCCACGGCUAACUACGUG
RNAcentral lists this ribosomal RNA (497 nucleotides) under uncultured bacterium. RNAcentral's name for it is "partial 16S ribosomal RNA". It matches the Rfam family "Bacterial small subunit ribosomal RNA", at positions 28 to 507 of the family's 1533-position model. The record is from RNAcentral.